This 505-nucleotide ribosomal RNA is filed under the name uncultured bacterium. Its description in RNAcentral is "partial 16S ribosomal RNA". It matches the Rfam family "Bacterial small subunit ribosomal RNA", at positions 36 to 507 of the family's 1533-position model. The record is from RNAcentral.
UCCUCCCUCUGGCGGCGUGCCUAAUACAUGCAAGUAGAACGCACAGUUUAUACCGUAGCUUGCUCCACCAUAGACUGUGAGUUGCGAACGGGUGAGUAACGCGUAGGUAACCUGCCUGGUAGCGGGGGAUAACUAUUGGAAACGAUAGCUAAUACCGCAUAAUAUUAAUUAUUGCAUGAUAAUUGAUUGAAAGAUGCAACUGCAUCACUACCAGAUGGACCUGCGUUGUAUUAGCUAGUAGGUGAGGUAACGGCUCACCUAGGCGACGAUACAUAGCCGACCUGAGAGGGUGAUCGGCCACACUGGGACUGAGACACGGCCCAGACUCCUACGGGAGGCAGCAGGAGGGAAUCUUCGGCAAUGGACGAAAGUCUGACCGAGCAACGACGCGUGAGUGAAGAAGGUUUUCGGAUCGUAAAGCUCUGUUGUAAGAGAAGAACGGGUGUGAGAGUGGAAAGUUCACACUGUGACGGUAUCUUAACAGAAAGGGACGGCUAACUACGUG